RNAcentral lists this long non-coding RNA (477 nucleotides) under Equus caballus (horse). Its description in RNAcentral is "lncRNA (ENSECAG00000056598.1)". Lineage: Eukaryota; Metazoa; Chordata; Mammalia; Perissodactyla; Equidae. The record is from RNAcentral.
GUGCGGAUACAGCCAGAGGGCUGCUACCUACAAAACAGGAAGUGGGGUUCUCAUCAGACACCAAAUCUGAUGGCACCUUGAACUUGGACUUCCCAGCUUCCAGAACUAUAAGAAAUCAGUGGGAAUACUUAUCGUCGUUCCAUGUAGGAGAAAAAAGGAAGAUGACAAUAAAAACCAUAUGGAGGCCUCUUCUCAGUCUGAAACCCUUUGAUCUUUUCUCCAAACGGAAGAAAGCAACCUUUCCAUUCUUAAAGCAUUCUAAAUGUCUUCCAGCCUCCAGAUGAACAAAUGUCUCAGCUUCCAAACAAGUCAUGAGCCGAUUGAUGCCAGAAUCUGGAUCAGAGAAUAAGAACGAAAAAGAAGUGGCUGAGGUUUCAGUAUCUCAAAGAAAUGUGUGAGAAUGUUGCUGGAAAAAGAAAACAGCUUUACUAAAGAAGUUGGUUGCUGAAAAAGGAAAGAGCCACUGAACAAAAGAGG